Molecule: ribosomal RNA, 253 nt
Filed under: uncultured bacterium
Lineage: Bacteria
Description: partial 16S ribosomal RNA
Rfam family: Bacterial small subunit ribosomal RNA
Source: RNAcentral
UACAGAGGGGGCAAGCGUUAUUCGGAAUUAUUGGGCGUAAAGGGCGCGUAGGCGGCCUUCUAAGUCGGACGUGAAAUCCCCGGGCUUAACCUGGGAACUGCGCUUGUAACUGAUAGGCUUGAGUGUGGCAGAGGGGGGUGGAAUUCCACGUGUAGCGGUGAAAUGCGUAGAUAUGUGGAGGAAUACCGAUGGCGAAGGCAGCCUCCUGGGCCAACACUGACGCUCAUGCACGAAAGCGUGGGGAGCAAACAGG